CGGUAAUACCAGCUCUCCGAGUGGUAGGGACGAUUAUUGGGCUUAAAGCGUCCGUAGCCGGCCCGGCAAGUCUUCCGUUAAAUCCAGCGACCUAAUCGUUGGGCUGCGGAAGAUACUGUUGGGCUAGGGGGCGGGAGAGGCCGACGGUAUUCCCGGGGUAGGGGUGAAAUCCUAUAAUCCCGGGAGGACCACCAGUGGCGAAGGCUGUCGGCUAGAACGCG
RNAcentral lists this ribosomal RNA (221 nucleotides) under uncultured archaeon. Its description in RNAcentral is "partial 16S ribosomal RNA". It matches the Rfam family "Archaeal small subunit ribosomal RNA", at positions 468 to 689 of the family's 1478-position model. The record is from RNAcentral.